GGGUGAGGGGGGUGGGGGGGGGUGCUCGCUGGAGAGAAAGCCUGGUGCUAAGCAGCACUCGCUGUUCUUGGGCCCAGAGCUCAGCCCCCAGCACCCACCCUACGGGGUCACAGACACCUCUGAGUCCAGCUCCAGGGCCCCUUUCUGGCCUCUGCACACAUGUGUGCAUAUUCACAUACAAACACAUAAAUAAUAAUAAGCCAGAAUCUUUUUUUUUUUAAUGGUGUUAGAACAACGGGACAGCCAGAAGUAACAAAUAAACAGAGACACAAACUUUUUACCUUUCAAGGAGAUGAACUCAAAGUGAAUGAAGCCCUAAAUGUAGAACACAAGUCUGUGCAAUUCCAGGAAGUAACAGGGGACAAGUCUUCAUGCUCUUUGAGUAAUUGAAUGCUGCGGGUUUUGUUUGUUUGUUUGUUUGUUUGUUUGGUUGGUUGGUUUUUUUUUUUUUAGAGACAACAGCAGAAGCACAAACCAUAAACAAAGCUGAUUUUUGUUUCAUGUCUAUUUUAUUUUACCUGUAUGAGUGUUUAGCCUGCGUGUAUGUGUGUGGAUGUGGACCGCGUGCAUAUGUGGUGCCUGCAGAUGUCAGAAGAAAGCAUUGGCUCUCCCUGAAACUGGAGCUGUGGAUUGUUGCAAUGCCACCAUGUGGGCGCUAGAGCCGAACCUAGGUCCUCUACAGGAGCAACAAGUGCUCUUACACUGAGCUAUGUCUCCAAUCCCUAUUCAAUUAAAAAGAACAAAAACCCCU
Molecule: long non-coding RNA, 751 nt
Filed under: Mus musculus (house mouse)
Lineage: Eukaryota; Metazoa; Chordata; Mammalia; Rodentia; Muridae
Description: long non-coding RNA chr6:134624981-134625732
Source: RNAcentral